AGGGUGUACUCCUAUGGUAUCCUUGGCUUUCAGAAACUGCAGCAGGCAGGACCACUCAGACACCACAGAGGAGAAUACAGGCGGAGCCCCCACAUAUCAACCACGGAAGAUUCACCAGCGUCCAUCCCACAGGCUUCCCUGAUGGCUCAGAGGGUAAAGAGUCUGUCUGCAAUGUGGGACACCUGGGUUUGAUCCCUGGGUUGGGAAGAUCCCCUGGAGAAAGAAAUUUCAACCCACUCCAGUAUUCUUGCCUGGAGAAUCCCCAUGGACAGAGGAGCCUGGUGGGCUACAGUCCAUGGGGUCGCGAAGAGACACGACUGAGCAACUUCACAUUCACGUUCACCUGUUCCCAGAGCUGCCAUUUCCUCUCAUCUUCCCCAGCAAGAUUGCAGGUGAAAUACAGUUUCUGAACAGUCAUACGACCUCUGGCAAGUCUAUAGGAAGCAAACAUCCUUUGGGCUUGGAUCCAGGGCCUGAAAUAGGCUGAAGUUGGCUCAGAAUCGACUGAGGAACAGGAAGUCAAAAGCCCAGGAGAGAAAUCACUGUGGAAGAAAAAUACAUCUGUGGAAAGUAAUCUACUCUAAUAAAUACUAACUGGAAGAGAAAAAAGAAUAUAAGUCACUAUGAAUUAGCAUCACUCUCAUUCUGUAUGUGUGUAUAUAAACUAUCAUAUAUAGAACAUUUUAAAAAUUCAAAAUCUUAACAGUGGUAUCUCUGAGAGAAGGAAUUAUAGAUAAUUUUAUUUUCUUUACUAUAAUUUUCAAUAUUUAAAAAAAUUUACAGUGAUCCUAUAAUCAGAGAAAAAUAAACAUUUCCAUUUUUUAAAAAGCAGAUUGCUUUCCAUAUGUCCCAGUGUCAUCGGUUGAGCAGGUGGGAGCUGAGGGG
Long non-coding RNA from Bos taurus (domestic cattle), 885 nucleotides. The record is from Ensembl. Lineage: Eukaryota; Metazoa; Chordata; Mammalia; Artiodactyla; Bovidae.